GUGCUCCCCCGCCAAUUCCUUUAAGUUUCAGCCUUGCGGCCGUACUUCCCAGGUGGUAGGCUUAAUGGCUUCCCUGCGGCACUGGGACAGCUCGUAGCCGUCCCAACACCUAGCCUGCAUCGUUUACAGCUGGGACUACCGGGGUAUCUAAUCCCGUUCGCUCCCCCAUCUUUCGUCCCUCACCGUCGGGCGCGUUUUAGUCGGCCGCCUUCGCCACUGGUGGUCCUCCUGGGAUUAUAGGAUUUCGCCCCUACCCCAGGACUACCGCCGACCUCCCUCGCCCCCAAGCCGAAGAGUAUUCCCCGCAGCCCAACGAUUGGAUCGUCAGAUUUAACGGGGAACUUUUUCGGCCGGCUACGGACGCUUCAGACCCAAUAAUCGUCCCAACCACUCGGGGAGCUGGUAUUACCGCGGCGGCUGACACCAGACUUGCCCUCCCCUUAUUCACCUGGCUAGUUAAACCGGGCAAAAGCCAUCCUCAGCGGGCGGCACUCGGAGUGACCUCGUCACGCUUUCGCGCAUUGCGAAGUUUUCGCGCCUGCUGCACCCCGU
This 552-nucleotide ribosomal RNA is filed under the name uncultured archaeon. RNAcentral's name for it is "partial 16S ribosomal RNA". The record is from RNAcentral.